Molecule: ribosomal RNA, 253 nt
Filed under: uncultured bacterium
Lineage: Bacteria
Description: partial 16S ribosomal RNA
Rfam family: Bacterial small subunit ribosomal RNA
Source: RNAcentral
UACGAACCGUGCGAACGUUGUUCGGAAUCACUGGGCUUAAAGGGCGCGUAGGCGGGCUCACAAGUCAGGGGUGAAAUCCCACGGCUCAACCGUGGAAGUGCCUUUGAUACUGUGGGUCUUGAGGGAGGUAGGGGCGUGCGGAACUUCCGGUGGAGCGGUGAAAUGCGUAGAUAUCGGAAGGAACACCGGUGGCGAAAGCGGCGCGCUGGACCUCUACUGACGCUGAGGCGCGAAAGCCAGGGGAGCAAACGGG